This 247-nucleotide ribosomal RNA is filed under the name uncultured bacterium. Its description in RNAcentral is "partial 16S ribosomal RNA". It matches the Rfam family "Bacterial small subunit ribosomal RNA", at positions 15 to 253 of the family's 1533-position model. The record is from RNAcentral.
GAUCCUGGCUCAGGAUGAACGCUAGCUACAGGCUUAACACAUGCAAGUCGAGGGGCAGCGGGAAGUCAGCUUGCUGACUUUGCCGGCGACCGGCGCACGGGUGAGUAACACGUAUCUAACCUUCCCGUUACUCUGGAAUAGCCUUUCGAAAGAAAGAUUAAUACCGGAUAGUAUCGAGAGAUUGCAUGAUUACCCGAUUAAAGAUUCAUCGGUAACGGAUGGGGAUACGUUCCAUUAGGCAGUUGGG